ACCUGGGAUGUUCGCGCGUCGGGAUUGCCCUGAGCCGAUAUUACCUAGACUGGGGUGUCUUCUUGGCUUAUGUUGAGCACGCCUAUACUGGGUGUUAAUUGCUUGCAAUUGGCAUUCAGUCCCUUGGAAGCCUUUUAAGUCACAGGCGUCCCACCUUGAACACUCUGGUUCAAGGAGCUGAAACCUGAUAACGGCAUUUCUGGG
RNAcentral lists this non-coding RNA (204 nucleotides) under uncultured Anaerobiospirillum sp. RNAcentral's name for it is "6S / SsrS RNA". It matches the Rfam family "6S / SsrS RNA". Rfam says of the family: E. coli 6S RNA was the first non coding RNA to be sequenced, but its function was unknown until recently. It consists of 184 nucleotides that fold into an extended hairpin structure with a large single-stranded internal bulge. Lineage: Bacteria; Pseudomonadati; Pseudomonadota; Gammaproteobacteria; Aeromonadales; Succinivibrionaceae. The record is from RNAcentral.